AAAUUGACGACCUGUAGUAAUGACCUUUUGCUGAAUACCAAUCGCCAUGAAAAAGGGUUCCUUGGUCCCCCCCCCAUGAACUGAACCGACAUCAACUAUAUUGGAUGCUGAGAAAUACUCACUACAGAUGAUCAACAGACUGGAAAUACAGAAAGCAGAUUCCCAUAAGCUAAUAAGGAUGCAAAUCAUUAUUACCUGGAAACGUUACAUCCGUUUCGAUAGACAUUUCCAGCUACUUCUCAACGUAAGUAUCUGUGAAAUCUGAGCGCUUGCCAUUCUGAGAUCAACUUCUGCAAAUGCAACAGUAGAAUAAAUGAAUCGCCUGAAAAUGGAGCCAGCAUGCGAAAGCCUUCUGAAUGUCGUCUUCACCAGGAGAAUGUUGCCUGGUUAGGAAGGAACCAUUCGAAGUGCUAAAAGAGGAUAAAUUUUUCCAGAUGUGCCCAUGUCCAUUUGUAGAGUGACUCUUCAAUAUCUGACACAUAUUCGGCAGCAAUCUGGAUGAUAUGGAAACUUUAUCCCAUCAUGAUAUAGGAGAGAUAAGGGUAUAUACAAAUUUAAGCACAUACUGUUUAAUAUAAACUUGUUUUUCUGGAUAAAGACGAGCUAACCACCCAUGAAGUAAUGAAAUUUUCGUGAUUCCACAUGUGUCCUGAAUUGACGGCAUUCUUGCUGAAUGUGGUGAAAUACUCAAUAAAAAAACCAAUUUUGGAAGCAAACCAUUAAUACUUGGAAACGUCUAUCAAAGUAGAAGCAGAAUUUCCAGUUAUUUGUCAACAUAAGAAUAAGACUUAGCAAGUGUUGCUGAUAUUCUACAGAAUCAUUGAG
Argiope bruennichi is the source of this 825-nucleotide long non-coding RNA. RefSeq lists it as uncharacterized. The transcript has 5 exons. The record is from RefSeq and is a predicted model, not a curated record. NCBI's taxonomy places the organism in Eukaryota, Metazoa, Arthropoda, Arachnida, Araneae, Araneidae.